Oreochromis niloticus (Nile tilapia) is the source of this 814-nucleotide long non-coding RNA. RefSeq lists it as uncharacterized. The record is from RefSeq and is a predicted model, not a curated record. The transcript is spliced from 2 exons. NCBI's taxonomy places the organism in Eukaryota, Metazoa, Chordata, Actinopteri, Cichliformes, Cichlidae.
UCUUACUAUUCGGUGCCAUUUGAGUCCUAAUGACAUAAUAUGGUAUAUUUAGUGUAAAACUUGUCUAAUGCUUAUUUCUAAACCAUUUUCUUGUAUGUUUAACCCCCCUCUACCAUAGAACACAUUGAUAUAUACACAGGAUAAAUACAUUAAAAGUAAAUUACUUUUAUUUUAGCACAAGUCACUAAAGUACUAUGUCCCCAGUCAUGCUUGCUCGACUUCAGUUACAAAUAUAACUUAAAAAAAAAAAAAAAAAUCUAGAUUUUUCAUCAUUUCUGGAUUGGCUUAUUUCUAAUGUUCCUCAUCAAAUGUUCUUUUUUAUUAUUAAUGCAUGUUUAAUACUUAAAAUCUUUAAAAAAUGUUGUGUCCCUGAAUCAACUGUCACCCCUGUUACUCUGAUAAGAAUUCCAUAGAACACAUCACCUGAUUAUUCUUUUAGUCACAUGACACUCCCGGAUGUAACAUAUUUUGGAGGGAAAACUUUCAAGAAGAAGACGAGGAAUGGCACCAAUGUCUGCUGCGGAGAAGCAGCGGCGCUACCGAGCACGUCGUGAUGCUGACCCUGAGAGAAGACAGAUAUAUCUCAAUAAAGAGAAAGAGAAGUGGAGAAAGGACAGAGAGGAAGGGAAAAAAAAGAAAGUGGCAGAUCUCAGUGAACGACAGAAGAGAGCACAGAGAAAGCAGUGGCGAGAAAGGAAAAGAAAGCAGAGGGCUAGUGCCAAAGGCAGGACAGAAUUUGAGGCUAUGAAUACUCCUCCCCUAAGUCCAGAAUAUUCCCUAGAGCCAGAAAAUGCCCCGCAACCAGGACCCUCAA